AACGAACGCUGGCGGCAUGCCUAACACAUGCAAGUCGAACGAGACCUUCGGGUCUAGUGGCGCACGGGUGCGUAACGCGUGGGAACCUGCCCUUAGGUUCGGAAUAACUCCCCGAAAGGGGUGCUAAUACCGGAUAAUGUCUUCGGACCAAAGAUUUAUCGCCUUUGGAUGGGCCCGCGUUGGAUUAGCUAGUUGGUAGGGUAAAAGCCUACCAAGGCGACGAUCCAUAGCUGGUCUGAGAGGAUGAUCAGCCACACUGGGACUGAGACACGGCCCAGACUCCUACGGGGGGGAGCAGUGGGGGAUAUUGGACAAUGGGCGGAAGCCUGAUCCAGCAAUGCCGCGUGAGUGAUGAAGGCCUUAGGGUUGUAAAGCUCUUUUACCCGGGAUGAUAAUGACAGUACCGGGAGAAUAAGCUCCGGCUAACUCCGUG
This 433-nucleotide ribosomal RNA is filed under the name uncultured bacterium. Its description in RNAcentral is "partial 16S ribosomal RNA". It matches the Rfam family "Bacterial small subunit ribosomal RNA", at positions 29 to 507 of the family's 1533-position model. The record is from RNAcentral.